Molecule: long non-coding RNA, 2003 nt
Filed under: Carica papaya (papaya)
Lineage: Eukaryota; Viridiplantae; Streptophyta; Magnoliopsida; Brassicales; Caricaceae
Description: long non-coding RNA (CPAP_LNC006708)
Source: RNAcentral
AGGAAUGUCGUCCACAUAAACAGCCUCUCCUGUAUAUUUGGCUAGAUAAAUAAGGUAUGCAGUUGGAUUUACAUAAACUUGCAACAUUUAAUUAAUAGAAAUAAUAGAAAGCCAACAAAAGAAAUUUCACGGUUAUGUACUCUACAAAAUUUAACCAACAUCAACUAAAUGACAGUUCACUGUCUGCUAUUUGUUCAUGGAAUUCAUAAAUGAGAGAGAGAGACACACUCACACAGAGAGAUGAUGUUGUCAAUAUAUGAAGUUCAGUCAUAAAUUAGGAUGAAAGAAAUAUAAAAUAUUUAGCAUGUUAGCAAAUGUCAUUUGAACUUCAAACCCCUCCAUGAUUUUAGGCUUCUUGUACAACAGUUCAUGUUCCAAAUCAGCUAAUUAUUUCCUUGUCCAUCCCCAGUAGCAGAAGAAAGUGGAAGAUAAAUACUUCUUAUUAGGGAAUCUUUUCUUCCAGAAGUAUUUCCUUCUUCGCCUUCUUUUUCCCAGACAUACAAAAUGUUUCAUAAGUAAUAGGUCAAAGUGACAUCUCACGAACCAGAGGCUUGGAUGGAAGCUUCCAACUUUGUGAUUGGCUGCCCAACUGGAUCAUAUUCUUUACUUGACUUCAAAACCUGAUGACCUGACAUUAGAAAUGUUAAAUGUUUCCCAUCAUCAAACUGUCCAUAAGUCUGUUUUCCAUUAGAAUCCUUGGGCAUCAAAGAAUUCUUGCCCCAACCAAACCAUCCAUUAGAAAUGUCAGCAGUCUCAGUCAAGGAACUAAAGAACUUGAAAAGAAAACCAACAGCCAAACUUAACCGGUAACCAGGAUCUGUAAUAUCAUCAUCAGGUGCAAUGGUGCCUCGUAACAAUUUGACAACUUCAUAUAGAACUUCAUUAGUCAACAAUUUCCCAGUCAAAAAUUCUUCAGAUUUCCAUGCCCUGAUUACUUGCCUUUUCCCGCAAGCACCAAAAGCCAAUUUACAGUGGUUUAUCAUAAGUUUAUCAGAACUUCUACAGGGAGAAACCUCCACCAUGAAAGCAGCAUUUAGAUAAGCCAAUGCAUUUCCAGAGGGUCUUGAUGCAGCACGAUAUGUUUCAAAGAGCAACUUGCCAUUGAAUCUAGAAGAAAUAUCUAUACUUGGAGAACACUGUGGAAUUUUAACGCUCAAAAGAACACUGUUGGAAUCCAGUGGAGGCCUUUCAAGAAACUCUUCCAACCUAAGCUUUUCACACCUCAGACCGUUCAUUAUUUCUACCACUGUACCCACAACAAGCAGUAUCGUAGUAAUAUCUGAAGGAAACUGCUUCCUCUGUGCCAUUACUAAAUUUCCUCCUAUGCUGGCUGAAUUCCUUAUGAACCUUGUAGCAACCUUCUCCAUGUGAUCUGCAAUUUUUUUGAACACAACGGCACCUUGAGUGGGAUGCUCACCUCCAUUCCCUUCCUUCAAAGCUUCAAUAACUUUAGAAAUUGUCACAGCUGCUCCAAUUUCAAUCCCCGUCUUAUCUCUCUUAAUCCUUGAUAGCUCAGGAAUAUAUCUUAUAUCUAUGUAUUUAUCAUAAUCUCCUAGUUCCUUAAAAUACCCCAUACCUGUAUUACCCACAACUAACUUCAUUGAGGUGCCAUUAUCAGCCUUACUGGAUUCCAAUAUGCUUUGGAGAUUCUUGACGCUAACAGGAGUGUGCCAACAAAAUCUUCCGUGGUCUAGAAUCACAGUGGACCUUGUUUCCCUCUUGAGAAAUUCUGGGAAUGUGCAAGUCUGAUCAUUAUUUUUAUAUAAAGGUAACCUGCUUAGCUUUAUUUCCUUUGUUUCUCCUUUUUUCCAGAAGGAGUUAAACCCCAAAUCCUCGAUAUCAACAUCUGAAGCAAAACUUUUACAGACAUCAACAAUUGGUCGAUAACCAGUACAACGGCAAAGAUUUCCAGUAAUUGCAUUUUCAGCUUCCGACACUGUCAGUUUGGAGAACCCUGGGAAAGGCUGUGGCCGGUUGGUCUUAUCAGCAUUUACAAGAGCUGC